RNAcentral lists this ribosomal RNA (497 nucleotides) under uncultured bacterium. RNAcentral's name for it is "partial 16S ribosomal RNA". It matches the Rfam family "Bacterial small subunit ribosomal RNA", at positions 28 to 507 of the family's 1533-position model. The record is from RNAcentral.
GAUGAACGCUGGCGGCGUGCCUAAUACAUGCAAGUCGAGCGAACGGACGAGAAGCUUGCUUCUCUGCUGUUAGCGGCUGACGGGUGAGUAACACGUGGAUAACCUACCUAUUAGACUGGGAUAACUUCGGGAAACCGCAUCUAAUACCGGAUAAUAUUUUGAACCGCAUGGUUCAAAAGUGAAAGACGGUCUUGCUGUCACUUAUAGAUGGUUCCGCGCUGCAUUAGCUAGUUGGUAAGGUAACGGCUUACCAAGGCAACGAUGCGUAGCCGACCUGAGAGGGUGAUCAGCCACACUGGAACUGAGACACGGUCCAGACUCCUACGGGAGGCAGCAGUGGGGAAUCUUCCGCAAUGGGCGAAAGCCUGACGGAGCAACGCCGCGUGAGUGAUGAAGGUCUUCGGAUCGUAAAACUCUGUUAUUAGGGAAGAACAUAUGUGUAAGUAACUGUGCACAUCUUGACGGUACCUAAUCAGAAAGCCACGGCUAACUACGUG